RNAcentral lists this ribosomal RNA (474 nucleotides) under uncultured bacterium. Its description in RNAcentral is "bacterial SSU rRNA". It matches the Rfam family "Bacterial small subunit ribosomal RNA", at positions 24 to 518 of the family's 1533-position model. The record is from RNAcentral.
UCAGGACGAACGCUGGCGGCGUGCUUCAUACAUGCAAGUCGAACGAGAAUCUGGCUUCGGUCAGAGGAAAGUGGCGGACGGGUGAGUAAUGUGUAGAGAAUCUGCCCUUUAGUGGGGGACAACAGUUGGAAACGACUGCUAAUACCCCAUAUGCGCGUAGCUGAGAUGCUAUUCGUGAAAACUCCGGUGCUAAAGGAUGAGUCUGCAUCUGAUUAGCUAGUUGGCGGUGUAAUGGACCACCAAGGCGACGAUCAGUAGCUGGUUUGAGAGGAUGAUCAGCCACAAUGGGACUGAGACACGGCCCAUACUCCUACGGGAGGCAGCAGUAGGGAAUUUUGCGCAAUGGGGGAAACCCUGACGCCAGCAACGCCGCGUGAUUGAAUAAGCCCUUCGGGGUGUAAAGAUCUGUCAGUAGGGACGAAACUUGACGGUACCUACAGAGGAAGCAUCGGCUAACUCCGUGCCAGCCGCAGC